Molecule: long non-coding RNA, 2396 nt
Organism: Ochlerotatus camptorhynchus
Lineage: Eukaryota; Metazoa; Arthropoda; Insecta; Diptera; Culicidae
Exons: 2
Source: RefSeq, a predicted model, not a curated record
CCAGAUAUUGGAAACAGAGAGGAAGAAAAUGAAGCACGCCGCACAACCCGAUCCUAAGACAACUUCUCAGCAAAAUAAAUCGGCAAAAGACAAGAGCAUAAAAAAUAAUAGGUAAUCAUGGUGUGAAAGGAUUUCGGUACGCUUCAGAAGUUUAGCAACGACACUACUUAAAAUCCAAUAAAAACGCAUAAAAGCUAUUCUUUUAAUAUUUUGUUUUAAUUCACAAAUCGCUUUAUCCGUCAUAGGUCUAUGUUUUUUUCCUUUUUUUUAUUUUACUUGAUUAGAAGCUCUCUCGCUCUCCCUUUCUCUCCAUCUCCCCAGCAUGACUCUAUUCCUAUUCGUUCAAUACGCUUUUACCUUCUACUAAUUCCUUCUCAAAUAUGCCACAAAAAAGAAAACCGUUCCGUUUUCGCUACUAAUUCCGCCUACAAAAAAAGUCCACGAUCUCUGAAUCGAUCCGAUUUCAACAUCCACCUUCUGUAACCGUUUCGUUUCCAGUCACAAAUGAAUUUAUACAACCGAAUAUCGACCAUCAUGGUGUUACAUUACCCGAUCCUCGUUUAAUAUAAAGUGCUAACGAUUCUCCGUUUUCGUAUUCGCCGCUUUUAUAGCAUCAUUGAUUUGCUCGUUUCUAAUGACAUUCCGUUUCGACCUCAUCCGUGCGCGUUAUCACUUUAACGGAUGUGGUUAAAGCGUCCUUUUAUCUCUCUUAUAUACUUUUUUGUUUGUUUUAUACUUAUAUUGAGUUGUCCGUGUUUCGAACACGCACUGAUGAAAAUGUUUCGAGUUUAGCCUACGGUAUGUUUGUCGGUGAUUUGUUUGUAUGUAGAUGUGUUAUGUUUAUGUGUAUGCAUGGUAGCUGGAUUUUGUUUUAUUCGAACUGUUAUUUUUUGUUUGUUUAAUUACAGCUGAUUUUUUUCAUGUUUGGCUUUUACACGCUAAUUACGAUUUGGUAUAGUUUGAUGUAUUUGUCCUAACUUUUUUUUCAUGUCUAUAUAUUAUUUAUUUUAUACGACGUGUUCCAUUAUCCGCCGUUUUUUAAUGAUUAAAAUUCAAUUACUAUGGUAUGCACAAUUUCAACAACAAAAAAAUGGAUUAUGGAUGUAUUCAAGUUUGGAUGGUACACUAAUUUGAAAAGUUAUGACAAAACGAUGAAUUGGGUUUAAAAAUGCACUUUCAUUCAUCUGUACAGACAUUUUUCUUGAUGAUGCAACUUACACAUACAUGAAACAAUUACAGCGAAAGAGUGGCAUUAUGGUGAUAUGGACGUUGUAAUACCAUGUUAUAGGGCAGAUUACGUCUUCGUCAAAUUCCUAUGCCUAUUAUCGUAAGGGGGUAAAUAAAGUGGUUGUGUGCUCUUUUUUGUCCAAAACAAAUUGGCAUUCAAAUACUUUAUUUAAAUAACGAAAAAAGGUAUGGAAAAUGGCGAAGGUGUUACUUCUCCUACAUAUUUGAAGAAGGUUGUUUAUGAAUAUUGUAACUAGGUAUUUGAUGAAGCGGUAGUUAGCGGUAGCAAUUGUAUGAUACUUGAUGAAAAGCUUCAAUCUAAUCGGAUUAUAGACUUUCCGGUCCAGAAUUUAAAAGGUACGACAGCUGUGUGGAAGAGCUCAAAGAACACUAAAUUUAAGAUAAUACUUAGCGGAAAUUUAUGUUUUUCGAUCAUUUUGAAUGCAUUGCUUUAUUUCAGUGUUAUGAGAAUUUAGGAAUUUAAUUUAAGUUCAUCUGUCGUUGAACUAAAGAUUAUAGUUUAUAUGUUUUGUUUCACACAUUUUAGAUCAUCCGUGACUCGCCCGGGGUGAGAUUUGAGCUCAAGUCUUUCAGCAUGAGAAACAUGGAUGCUAACCAUUUACGCCAGGCCCGUAUUCAGUUAAACAUUAUGAAUGCAAAAUCAGAAAUCAAAUUGAUUUAAUUGAAAACAAGAUUAGUUUUCCGUUUGAUUCAACAGUGUAAAAUUUUGCUCUCAUUUUUGUUUUGUUAACCGUUAAGUCAACCAAAAUGAGAUCAACUGGAGUUUUCAAAAUAAGUUACAUCAUAACAGCACAUUUUGAUUUUGAUUUGAUCUCCAGCUUUGCUCGGGCAAUCAAAACAGUUUCCAUUAAUGAUCAUACAACUGCAUACGCAUUUUUAUAUAUAUACGAUGGAUCAACAAGCUGGAUGACAACAUGCAUUUUAUGUUUGAGAUAUCAGAGAUUAAAUACAGUCCGAAACUUGCUGGCGAUUGUACCUUAGCGUUAUUUAGUCUGUAUAUAGCAAUAGAUAUGAUCAUGUGAUGUUCAAUGAUUAUUUACGAUGACAAUUGUUCUGGAAUCAGACUUAUCGUGACUCGUGUUUUUCGCAUUACUCCUCUUCUAUAGCUACUGAAUUGUUUCAAUUGAAUUAGAUUCAUUGUUUCUUUU